This 656-nucleotide long non-coding RNA is filed under the name Mytilus galloprovincialis (Mediterranean mussel). Lineage: Eukaryota; Metazoa; Mollusca; Bivalvia; Mytilida; Mytilidae. The record is from RNAcentral.
AAAGAUUUAUCAAACGAUGUAUUUGUUUCUACUCGUGUAUCGUUUAGAAAACAGUAACACACGCGACACAACGUUUACAAAAUUCUUGUUAGAAAGAAAUGCGGCCUAAGAAAAAUCUUAUUAGAAUCACAAGAAGUUCUGAUAGGUCGUAAAAUAAACUUCCCAUCACUUUAUUCUUUUCACAUGUCAAUUUAAAAAAAAAAAUUCGCAACGAUGUCAUAAUUGAAAGCACGAGGAAGGCUGACCAAAAUGUUCAACUUGCGGCUAGUGAUUGACAGGUAUGAUUAUAUCUUGGGGCUCUUGUGGGGAGCGUGGUGUCGGACGGAAAAAAGAUUUCCAGUAUUCAUAUAUAUAUAAAUGUCGAUCUGAUGUGGAAAAUUGUGAGGUUUUUUUUAAUAGCACAAAGAAAAAGACGUUAGAAGAGUAACAAUGUGUAACUAUAAACGAAUUACUCGUUUAUAAUCUACGAGACUGAUCAGAUCGAAGUUUGAUAAAAAAAAAAAAAAAAAAAAAAAGCAUUCAAUAUCAAACCUUCUUGGUUGGAGAAAACAUGUUCAAUGUAUACCUGCAAAUAUGUCUUAAUAAAUUAUAUUGUGUAUUUAAAUUAUCUCCAUUGAAUACAAUACAAUUUAUUAAAUGUAUCUAUGAUAUCCUCC